RNAcentral lists this ribosomal RNA (719 nucleotides) under Bacillus pumilus. RNAcentral describes it as "bacterial SSU rRNA". It matches the Rfam family "Bacterial small subunit ribosomal RNA", at positions 571 to 1289 of the family's 1533-position model. The record is from RNAcentral. Lineage: Bacteria; Bacillati; Bacillota; Bacilli; Caryophanales; Bacillaceae.
GCAGGCGGUUUUUUAAGUUCUGAGGUGAAAGCCCCCGGCUCAACCGGGGAGGGUCAUUGGAAACUGGGAAACUUGAGUGCAGAAGAGGAGAGUGGAAUUCCACGUGUAGCGGUGAAAUGCGUAGAGAUGUGGAGGAACACCAGUGGCGAAGGCGACUCUCUGGUCUGUAACUGACGCUGAGGAGCGAAAGCGUGGGGAGCGAACAGGAUUAGAUACCCUGGUAGUCCACGCCGUAAACGAUGAGUGCUAAGUGUUAGGGGGUUUCCGCCCCUUAGUGCUGCAGCUAACGCAUUAAGCACUCCGCCUGGGGAGUACGGUCGCAAGACUGAAACUCAAAGGAAUUGACGGGGGCCCGCACAAGCGGUGGAGCAUGUGGUUUAAUUCGAAGCAACGCGAAGAACCUUACCAGGUCUUGACAUCCGCUGACGACCCUAGAGAUAGGGCUUUCCCUUCGGGGACAGAGUGACAGGUGGUGCAUGGUUGUCGUCAGCUCGUGUCGUGAGAUGUUGGGUUAAGUCCCGCAACGAGCGCAACCCUUGAUCUUAGUUGCCAGCAUUCAGUUGGGCACUCUAAGGUGACUGCCGGUGACAAACCGGAGGAAGGUGGGGAUGACGUCAAAUCAUCAUGCCCCUUAUGACCUGGGCUACACACGUGCUACAAUGGACAGAACAAAGGGCUGCAAGACCGCAAGGUUUAGCCAAUCCCAUAAAUCUGUUCUC